Molecule: ribosomal RNA, 650 nt
Filed under: uncultured bacterium
Lineage: Bacteria
Description: bacterial SSU rRNA
Rfam family: Bacterial small subunit ribosomal RNA
Source: RNAcentral
UACACAUGCAGUCAGGAGAAUUCCCGACUUGUCGGGAUAGUAAACUGGCGAACGGGUGAGUAACACGUAGGUAAUCUACCCUCGGGAUGGGGAUAACCUACCGAAAGGUGGGCUAAUACCGAAUAAUGUUCCGCUUUAAUCGAGCGGAAUGAAAGGUGGGGACCUUCGGGCCUACUGCCUGAGGAUGAGCCUGCGUCCCAUUAGCUAGUUGGUAAGGUAAUGGCUUACCAAGGCGACGAUGGGUAGCUGGUCUGAGAGGAUGAUCAGCCACAUUGGGACUGAGAUACGGCCCAAACUCCUACGGGAGGCAGCAGUGAGGAAUUUUGCGCAAUGGCCGCAAGGCUGACGCAGCAACGCCGCGUGACCGAUUAAGCUCUGAGGAGUGUAAAGGUCUGUCGCAGAGGAAGAAACUGCCUGAUGAGAAUAUUGUCAGGUACUGACGGUACUCUGUGAGAAAGCUCCGGCUAACUCCGUGCCAGCAGCCGCGGUAAUACGGGGGGAGCAAGCGUUGUCCGGAAUCACUGGGCGUAAAGAGCGUGUAGGUGUCCUAAUAAGUCUCUGGUGAAAGCCUUCUGCUUAACGGGAGAAUUGCCGGAGAUACUAUUGGGAUUGAGUUCACAAGAGGGAAGCGGAAUUCCUGGUGUAGCGGU